This is a non-coding RNA of Doryrhamphus excisus (bluestripe pipefish), 730 nucleotides long. The record is from RefSeq and is a predicted model, not a curated record. Lineage: Eukaryota; Metazoa; Chordata; Actinopteri; Syngnathiformes; Syngnathidae.
GUGUGUUCACAAAAAUAUCUUACCCCUGGCUGCUGAGAGCCGAGCGCCCCCCUUUUGGUGGAUCCCCCUCUGGAGCUCAGUCUCUUCCACGACUCAGAGAAACGCCCCCUGGUGGUGGGACGCCCGGGCCCUGAUGCCCCAGAUGCCACGGAUGCAUCAUCACGUGUGGAGAACGGCUGCUCCCUGCGCUGCUCCUUCCGCUCAGCCCACUUCUUCUUGGAAGCCAUCGGUGUUCAAAUGUGGUGAAGACGAUGUGACAGAAAUUUCCUGUACCGAACUAUGAAGCCGUCUCGCCAUCUAAUUGCUGGAUUUAGAUCAACGCACAGGAUGGUCCAAAAGAGUGAGCUUAUUCCCUUGGAAGAAGUCCUUUGUCAAGCAGCCAUUGUGAACUGUGGCAUUGUCCUGCUGGAAAAUCCAGUCAUUACUACAUGGAUGAAGACCUUCAGUCAUAAGACAUGCCCCUGCAACACCUCCACAUAGCCAACUACCGUUUGACGCUCCUGCACAACCAGAAGCUCCACCGUGCUGUGUGAAAAACAUCUAAGGUGGGAUCAGCUUGUAAUGUCAGUAACAUUGGAAGCAAUCAGGAUAGUUACGGUUAUAUUUUUUUCUCAUCAGAGAAUAAAACUUUCCUCCACCUUUCAAUGUCCCAUUUUUUUUUAUCUCAUGGGAAUUCCAAACGGGCAUUUUUGUGGCUUUGAAGACAUUUUUUUUUGUUCUUGAAACCAUU